UAUUUUUGAACUACUCUCUUUGCUGGAGCCAUGAUGACCCUGUGUUCUGUGGAAAUAUAUUGACACAAUUUAAGAGCCAGGUUGACUCAUUGGAAAAGACUCUGAUGCCGGGAGGGAUUGGGGGCAGGAGGAGAAGGGGACGACAGAGGAUGAGAUGGCUGGAUGGCAUCACGGACUCAGUGGACGUGAGUCUGAGUGAACUCCGGGAGCUGGUGACGGACAGGGAGGCCUGCACAAUUCAUGGGGUUGCAAAGAGUCAGACACAACUGAGCGACUGAACUGAACUGAACUGAAGAGCCAGGUGCAUCAAAGUAGUAGAUGAGAAAAGAAAGGGAGACAGAGAGGAAAAGAGAAGGGGUAGGAAGCAAAAUUUUGAAUUCCAAAAUGUAUCAAACACUCUGGAAUAUUCAUAAAUGUGAUUACCUUUUACCAUGAAAGAGAUUAUGUUGAAUGCUGAGAAUCAUGAGGAACAAAUGUCCUUCCUUUGGGAGAAGAAUGGAGAUUAUUAAACAAUAUAGAUUUGACUAAUGAAGCCAGAGCACAAGGAGACAGAAUGAAGACGGCACACCGCUACGCUACUCCUCCUCUCGUCACCAUCCCUUCUAAGCUCCAUUCAAACUUGCCUGUGCAUGAAUGCUGUCUCUCAAGCAAACCUGGAGAGCAACUUUAUGUCUGGACACUAUCCUAUGAUGCGAUCAGAGGGCUACCACCCCUCUUCAUCUCAGGCUAUUACAGAGAAUCAAAAUAAACUUGGAAAACUCCCCAGCUUUGCAUCCUUAUAAUGAACCCUCAUGCUCUACUCACAAGUUUCUUCACCAAACCACACGGUCGUCG
RNAcentral lists this long non-coding RNA (834 nucleotides) under Capra hircus (goat). RNAcentral describes it as "lncRNA (ENSCHIG00000003855.1)". Lineage: Eukaryota; Metazoa; Chordata; Mammalia; Artiodactyla; Bovidae. The record is from RNAcentral.